CCCUUUGAUGUUCCUGGCCGCACGCGCGCUACAAUGGCUGUGUCCACGAGCCUUCUUGGGAUCGUUCAGUGUUAUCGAGAGAUGCACCGUUCCUAUCGACCCCUUAAAGGGUGGACGAAAUCUUGUGCAAUGCAGUCUUGUUUCGGGAUAGAGCUCUGAAAUUCCGGCUCUUGAACGAGGAAUUCCUAGUAGGUGUGCGUCACCACCGCGUGCCGAUUACGUCCCUGCUCUUUGUACACACCGCCCGUCGCUACUACCGAUGGAGUGUCUGGAUGAGGUCCCCGGAAACGCCAGCGAUGGCCGGAAGAUUGCCCAGCCCACACACUUAGAGGAAGUAAAAGUCGUANCA
RNAcentral lists this ribosomal RNA (349 nucleotides) under uncultured eukaryote. RNAcentral's name for it is "partial 18S ribosomal RNA". It matches the Rfam family "Eukaryotic small subunit ribosomal RNA", at positions 1470 to 1796 of the family's 1831-position model. The record is from RNAcentral.